Molecule: unclassified non-coding RNA, 268 nt
Filed under: Ascomycota sp.
Lineage: Eukaryota; Fungi; Ascomycota
Description: partial contains small subunit ribosomal RNA, internal transcribed spacer 1, and 5.8S ribosomal RNA
Rfam family: Eukaryotic small subunit ribosomal RNA (bases 1-47)
Source: RNAcentral
AAAGUCGUAACAAGGUCUCCGUUGGUGAACCAGCGGAGGGAUCAUUACCGAGUUUACAACUCCCAAACCCCCAUGUGAACUUAUACCUUUACACCGUUGCUUCGGCGGGUCUUCGCCCCGGGCUGCCGGGCCUCUCAGCAGGUCCCGGCCCCGGAACCAGGCGCCCGCCGAGGGACCCAAACUCUUGUAUUCCUACACCUUUUGGCAUGUCUGAGUGGAAUCAUUGCACAAUGAAUCAAAACUUUCAACAACGGAUCUCUUGGUUCUG